CGCAAUAAACUUGUAACUGAAAACUUCCCGGGGGAUGGGGACAGACUCCAGAGUGAGCUUAAAACUAUUGGUUAACUAACCAAUAAUUGUGUCUGAUUUGCCUCAGUCAUUACAUAAUUCCCCCCCUUUCGCUCGUUGUUGUCUCUCUUAUGGCAACAGUGAGCGACAUUGAAGGUGCAGAAAGAUCAGACACAUCACUGACACACAAGGUUGGAAGGCUGUGAUGGGCCCUGGUUGUAUGUGUCUCCUGGAGUGGUGGUCGUUGAUGCAGACCGUGGGCAAGCUAAGUUCUCUGAGCUGGUGCUGCAGGAAUCAACGCAUCCAGUGCCUUGACGGUGUGUCACCUGUCACCCUAAAGUCAGUUAGUGCGGGCGAGACAUUUGCUGGUGGCAAGGUUCAGGGCUUUGAGCUUGCUCAGCAGGUGUCGAGGUUGCAGGUGCCAUGACAGUGUCACCUGUCAUUCGGACACCCAUGAAGCAGGUGGUUGCAGGAAGAGUUUAUGGGAUUUGUAGUGUGAAGAGUGUUUCAGACUGACCUAGGGUUGAUGACAGAAGCAUUUGUUACCUCUGCUCUCAGUCCAAAGGAGUCUGAAGUUUGCUGUGUCCCUCUGCUCUGGUGGCGGCGCCGACUUGAGCAGGUCUGAGUUGUCUUGUGUGAGUGGUCAGAAGCUUGUGCUUCUGAGUACUUCUCCAGUAAGUACUGUUCAUGGGGCUCCUUACUAGCGUUAGAAGCUCCUACAGGUUCGAUGCAGGCAUGUCCAGUCGCCCUUGUGCUACCUGCUGUUGGAGAUCAUGCGGUGUCUGCAGGAAGAGGAUGUUUCCAUCCAUGGCUUCUCCCUGUGGUAGGUCUGGUGCCUGGGUCUGUCUGAAUUAAUCCUUCUCCUUCUGUAGCUUUAGAGGAUUUCAGGAAAUUGGCUGAUGAGGUGUCAAGCAGAAGGCUUUGGCUCCCCUCUCUGUACCUCUGUGCUUGGCUGGGGAAGGUUCUUCUGCUGCAGGCAAGAGAGUCUCAGUUCUCUUUGGGCCAUGUCAAGUUCAUCUUUGGUGUUGUCCAGCUGCUGGGUCAGAGCUUCAGUCCCAGGUCUGGACACAUCCAGAGGACGUUCACAGGUCCUGAUCCUGUCAUCUUUGUCCUAGAGUUCAGAAUUUGCUAUUUUUAACAGUGACUAUUUGUGACAGAGUUCUUUUACCAAAUCCUCUCUGGCUGCCUUUUCCAGCUGCUCUCGUUGUCAGAGCCUUUGAGGUUUUGUGGAUUUUCUUCUGUGCCUCUAUUCUGUCAGGGUCUGUCCUGAGCCUCCAUCUCUAGCUGGUCUAUGUGGCAUUUAGCAUGCAUUAGCUCCUUGUGAGUCUCUGUGAUCUGGAGUUGGAGGGUGUUCACCUCCUGUUUCAAACCAGUGAGGUUGUGGGCCAGGAAGAAGUUGACUUCAGUCAGAUCAUUGUGAUCAUACCCCUGGUUUGAGUCAUCUGCCUUUACUUCUCUUCCAUCUUUGUCCAGUUGCUUUUGGCUCUGAUGCUGUAAGGGAUCAGCAGCCCCGGUUAGGAGGGUGUUCCUCACCACACCUAGCCAGUCCUUUCGGUCUGCCAUCUGGGCAGUUAGGCUGAGCAUCUGCAACCUUUAGGCACGCUUGUGGUGAGAGUAAGGGCAAGAGACUACUGCACGAUCAAACAGAAUUUAGGGCUAAAGGCACAGUGAGCAGCCAGGUGUAUAAAGCUAGGUUUAAUAAAUGACUUAAGAUGGUUCUUAAUGUCAUAUUAUUUAUCAGAACGUACUGAUGGCUCACAACGGGCUCGACCUCUGAACGAAUGGAAGAGAGAAAGGGAGAGGAGGAGGAGAGCUUCCCAUUGGAUUGUGUUCAUUAGUGGUGCUCAAAAUUAUGCCAUAGCAAUCGUUCAGAUUACUUUUGUAACUGGCUCAUAAAAUUGAAACAACUGUUGUAAAUUAACAAAAUCAAGAAGGAAAGUAUGUCUAGUUGCUUGUGGUUAUAUUGGGAAAUUGAACCACACAAGACAAAAAAGGAAGAUGUAAGUAAAUCACAAAGAUGAAAGAAAUAAUACUAGUAAAAAUUAAUAGCUGACUGCUAUUAUAAUUAAAAUCAAUAAAAAGAUUUAAAGAAGUGACUAAAACAGCAGAAUGGGUUUAGAUCAGUUCACACUGCACACACACAAGCUGUAGUUAAAGGCUUCACAUAAAUGAUGCUAACCGCUAACUGUAGAAGCUAUUAGUUAGCUUAGCCUGAGCGGAAGGGUUGCUAGGUGGGGUUAGCUUAGCCACCUAGCCUGGUUUGUUUACACCAUGGCAUCACAAGGUGAUGAGUUAGCACUUCCUGUGACAAGUCGUUGUCAUGGGAACCAAUGCACACCACAGCAAUUCAAACAGUUCAUGAAGACGGUCUGCUCAUUUCAAACUAGUUACGUACAGAGUUAAAAUGUGAUGCUUAUACUUUCAGAUUUUCAAAAACUUGAUAUUACAUUUAGCAAAAUGUAAAUAUGUUUUGGCAUUUGCAAAUUUUACUCAUGUAAACUCUUCUCUCUACUUUAAACAACGUCUUGUACUUGUUUAAAGGGGAAUUACACAGUUUGCUGUAAGUCCAAGCUUGUUUAAGCAUAUAUAGUUAAGUCCGUCUUGUGCAGGUAUACUGAUAUUCCUUUCAGCGAGUGAAACACAGUUUUGGUCAAGAGGUAGCUAUGCUUGUAGAUGCAGCCAAAGUUUAGAUGAAUGACAUCAAUCUUAACUAUAAAAGGGGAGCAUUACCCAAAUCUACAUUUAUAUAACGCUGUACUGAGAUUCAUUCAUCAGAAACAGGUUAAGCAAUACUGCAAUUGGUAUUUCUCCAACCAAAGCAGAAUAAUCAAUUCUGGUACAGUUUACAUGCCGCUGAGUUGAGAUUCCUUCGUCAACAUAGGCUUACGCUCUAAUACUGAGAUUAGGAUUUCUUCGCUAAAAUCAGAUUAACUUUACGCUGAUACCAUUUGAACAUAUGCUAAAAUGUCUUAAGACUCUUUCUGUUACGGCAGAGGUGUCACUUCAAGCUAUAGUUUUAUCUGCAUCUAACAAGCCAGCACCAUCGAUCUACAUGCGAAUCAACGUUGUCAAACGUCAUGUCGGAAUUAUCAAUUAUUAAACACACUUGGACGAUGGUUUAAGCGAGUGGCGUUAGGCCAUGCUGGCUUAACCGGCUCAACCUAGUGUCAUAUUUCAAAAUAGCUCGUCGUGGAUAGUCAUGAGCAUUUGAGAUUUACACAUUCACACAAGGUUUCCUUCCACUCCUACUGCAGACUCCUGCAUUUCUGCGAACACACAUUUUCAUCUACUUUAAAAGCUUUAUGCCCUAUGCUGCCUAGGAACCUUUGUAGAAGCUAUGGGUAAAGCACUGCGUUUGCAGUUCAAAGUCAUUGGGGUCUUGAGAACCCCCUGCUGAGGGGCCUUGUGUGUUACAGGCCUUCUGUGUCAGGUCACAUGAGUGGCACUGUGUGAGGGCAGGUUGUGCUGUCCAAAGGGGUGACUAGCUGUUGUAGGAGGCAAAGGUCCUGUUGGUGUCCUCCAUUCAUUCCAGGUUUGUCUGAGUCGGUGGCAGUAACCUUGGGACUUUCAGAUCUGCCCUGCUUGGUGUCGGGGGCAGCACUCAAUCUGCAUUCAGGCUUCUGGGUCUGAGAAAUCCUUUAUGCAGACUGGCUUCAGCUGCUGAUAGUCUAAUUGGAGUUUUUCUGGCUGUUAAGUCAAAACUCAUAGUGAAUCUGGUGGGGUGUGAUCCAGAACAGAGAGCCUGUCUUGGUGGAUCACACCAGUCAGGGACUUUGGAACGAAAGAGAAUGUCUAUUAUGUUGGCAUUGGUGCUGUGGUCUCCUAAGCUGCAGGCUCUGGCCCCUCCCCCCUUUGUGAAGGGUUGGGGGAGCUCUCGCUGCUGCUGCUGCAAAGUCCAUCAGGUUGCAAGUUCCUUGUGUGGUCCAUUCUUAGUUGUUCGGGCUGUUUCAGUUCUUUUCGGACCACAAUGUGUUUGUUUCUCACGCUGCUGAAUUGUGGAGUCAGUGUUUGACUUUCAGUUCUGCAUGCGGGUGGCCUUCAAGGGCCCUAGCUUUAGUGUCUCUUUAAAUUCAAACCUUACGUUCCUUACGUUCUUUAACUGGCAAAGUUCAACAGCUGUCAGAGCCUCCAGAGGACUGGUGACCUCCCUCAAUUGCUCUGCUCUGUCAUGGUUCUUGCAUCUGUCCUGUGUCUUCUCAUGCUGAGUGGGUUGGUUCUCUGUGGAACUCAGUGACUUGCAGCGUUCGUUCAAUUACCUCCUGUUGGAAGCCCGUAUGAGCAUGGGCUAAGGAGAGGAUGAAGCUCUUUGUGGCUCAGGUCAGGUGUCACGUGUGUGCUGGUGCUGCCGAUCUCGCUGUCCCUUGCUCUGCGGUUGCAGGUUGUUGACUGCUUUAGCUGAAGGGCAACCAUCACAUUGUUCCGCUGGGUCUCCAGGGGGUCCUGGAUGGCAGGGCUGGAUGUACUGGGCAGACCGGCACACUUAUGGGGACAUGAGAGAAAGAGAUAGCACAGGCAAAUGCAAGUUCGUACAGCUAUGUGGGCCGUAUAGGGAGUGACUAGCUGAAGUGGGGGAAGCCAGCAUGAGACUAAGGUGUUUAACUAUCUUGGAUGACAGCUGUAAGCUGUGUUGACUGAUGACGGGGCUGGUACACGUCAUUAAACUAUUACUCAGAGUACAGAUGAUUCCUUUCCAGAAAUUAUCACCAUAAGGUAAAAGAAUAGAACAAACUGGUAGAGAGAGAGAGAGAAAAAAAAAUGAAAUAAGAAAAGGGAAAGGAAGGAAAGAGGUUUUUUACCCAUUUAGUCUUGCUAGGAGAUAUGGUUAAGCAGGUGUCACUGGUUCAAGUGAUGACCUAAUCUCUAGACUAACAGAGAAAGACCAGAUGCCUUGAGGUCGAAAGGAGAAGAAACAACUGGAAGAGUUUCUAGUCCUUUCCGGAGCCCCAAGUGCACUGGACGGUGGCCGUACUUCAUGUACUCAGCACUAAGGAGUGAGGAGGGGGAGCUGAGAGAUAGGUGUUAGCGUAGUAAUAACCUAUAACUCAUUAUGCCUCAUUAAGGAAACAACAGUUUCUAGAACUACUGUAAUCCUAUAGAAAAAGGGAAGAGGGUGAUAGUAGAAUAACACAAAAAAUAAAUAAAUAAAAUAAAA
Molecule: long non-coding RNA, 5170 nt
Organism: Megalobrama amblycephala (Wuchang bream)
Lineage: Eukaryota; Metazoa; Chordata; Actinopteri; Cypriniformes; Xenocyprididae
Exons: 2
Source: RefSeq, a predicted model, not a curated record